Molecule: long non-coding RNA, 723 nt
Organism: Vidua macroura (Pin-tailed whydah)
Lineage: Eukaryota; Metazoa; Chordata; Aves; Passeriformes; Viduidae
Exons: 2
Source: RefSeq, a predicted model, not a curated record
CGGCACCGCCGGCCCGGGCGGGCCUGAGCCACGGCCGGCCGCGGGACAGCGCCACUGAGCGCAGGCGGGCGUUUACAUGCGCAAUUUGCAUAUGCAAAUCUGUGUUAUCAUGUAUGCAAGGACAGGUGUCUGUCGGAGAGAGUGGGGUGAAUAUAUUACACACAUGAGAAGCGUUGUGUGCUGCCGAUGCUAUGAAAAGGGGCAUCUGAGGCUGCACAGACUACAAAUAUACAUGUGUACAUAAAAGGAGACUGUGUGAGGCUGUGAUACAUAUACAUCUAUACAUAUAUGUAGAUAUAUGUAAUAUAUAAUUAAAGAUAAUGUUGUAAUAUAGCAACAUGUAUGGUACCCAACAGAAAACAAUACCAUGACACUGUGGGAUGUAACAGUAAAUAUAAGUACAAAUAAUACACUACAUAACACAUGUCAGAUAUAAAAUACCCUGUGCAUUUUGUUAUAUGUUCUGGGUUAUUACAGUUACAUAAAGAAAUGAAAAAGUGCCUGGGAGUGGGUGCAUUCGCAGAGUAUAAAUGUCUGUGUAUAAAAUGGUGAGAGAGUGAAAAUAACACAAAUCACACCAUAUAUUGUUGAGUGCUCUAUGGUGUAACAUUAGGAUAAAAGGAGACUGUAUAACACAUGGGCCUAUAGAUAAGAAUGUAUGUGUAUGAAUACAUGUACUAAAGGUGUUUAUAUAUUAUGUAAAUAUUAGAUAUAUAAGACAUA